Molecule: unclassified non-coding RNA, 253 nt
Filed under: uncultured Oceanospirillales bacterium
Lineage: Bacteria; Pseudomonadati; Pseudomonadota; Gammaproteobacteria; Oceanospirillales
Description: contains 16S-23S intergenic spacer region
Rfam family: Bacterial small subunit ribosomal RNA
Source: RNAcentral
UACGAAGGGUUCAAGCGUUAAUCGGAAUUACUGGGCGUAAAGCGCGCGUAGGCGGUUUGGUUAGUUGGAUGUGAAAGCCCAGGGCUCAACCUUGGAAUUGCAUCCAAUACUGCCAGGCUAGAGUACGAGAGAGGGGGGUAGAAUUCCACGUGUAGCGGUGAAAUGCGUAGAGAUAUGGAGGAAUACCAGUGGCGAAGGCGGCCCCCUGGAUCGAUACUGACGCUGAGGUGCGAAAGCGUGGGGAGCAAACAGG